This 267-nucleotide ribosomal RNA is filed under the name uncultured bacterium. RNAcentral's name for it is "partial 16S ribosomal RNA". It matches the Rfam family "Bacterial small subunit ribosomal RNA", at positions 793 to 1055 of the family's 1533-position model. The record is from RNAcentral.
GUCCACGCCCUAAACGAUGCACAUUUGGUGUGGGCCAUUCAUUUGGUCCGUGCCGGAGCUAACGCGUUAAAUGUGCCGCCUGGGGAGUACGGUCGCAAGGCUGAAAACUCAAAAGGAAUUGACGGGGGCCCGCACAAGCGGUGGAGCAUGUGGUUCAAUUCGACGCAAACGCGAAAGAACCUUACCUGGGCUCGAACGGCUGUGGACCAGCGGUGGAAACAUCGCCUUCCGCAAGGGACUGCAGUCGAGGUGCUGCAUGGCUGUCGU